This 346-nucleotide ribosomal RNA is filed under the name Chattonella marina var. ovata. RNAcentral describes it as "bacterial SSU rRNA". It matches the Rfam family "Bacterial small subunit ribosomal RNA", at positions 940 to 1293 of the family's 1533-position model. Lineage: Eukaryota; Raphidophyceae; Chattonellales; Chattonellaceae. The record is from RNAcentral.
UGUGGUUUAAUUCGAUGCAACGCGAAGAACCUUACCAGGGUUUGACAUAAUGUGAAUUUCUUUGAAAGAAGAAAGUGCCUUCGGGAACACAUAUACAGGUGGUGCAUGGCUGUCGUCAGCUCGUGUCGUGAGAUGUUGGGUUAAGUCCCGCAACGAGCGUAACCCUUGUUUUUAGUUACCUUUAUUUGGAUAUCUAGAAAGACUGCCGAUUAUAAAUCGGAGGAAGGUAAGGACGACGUCAAGUCAUCAUGCCCCUUACACCCUGGGCUACACACGUGCUACAUUGGGUAGAACAGUGAGUCGCUAAGUUGUGAAACCAAGCUAAUCUUCAAAUCUACUCUAAGUU